UCUACAUCUACCAUUCUUUCCUUAUGAUUUCGACUGCAUGCUUUGCCCACAAUAUCAGUCCGAUUUAGUUCUCUCCUGUCAGUUUCUCUUUUGUAAUGGCAGGCUUCACCAUUGUCCACUCCCUGUUCAACACCCACUCGUUCUCUGUCCAACAUCAUUCACUCGCUCACACCCUUAUUCUCUAUUCACACCCUUAUCCCCCAUUCUUUUCACUAUAGGUUGUCGAAAUCGAAGCGUUUUGGCGCGUUUUUGGUUUUUGGUCUACUCAUCUACUCUAGUCUAGUCUCUAUAAGUGUUUCAGUCGAAAAGCAUGCAUCAUGCACCACAUUUCGCAUAGGUACCAGUGAAAAGUGAAAAGUUCCAGUUCUCUUUACAGUGCUUCAGUCAUUUAUUAGUUUCAAAAUAACGUGAAUAUUUGAUCUUCUCCUAUCAAAAAAUGGAAAUGUUUGCGAUUGGCAAUGUAUGGAGAAUGAUUAUAAUGAUGCUACAGAGUAAUAUCGAAAAAAGAGAUGAGCAAAAAAGUGGAAGCAUACAUUAAUUAUUCAUAAUGCAUAUCUCAGCAACAACAAAAAAUUGAAUUGCUAGAAGAAAACUCGGGACACAUUGGAUCAAAUGUGAAUAAAACUUUCAAAGGUGUCUGCCAAAGAAAUUUCUAAGAGAUGGUCAAUGAGUCUGUCAUUGGAGAAGUCAACGAUUGGCUCCUGCAACCGAAAUUUAGAAGAGCGCGCAGACAUGGAGAAAAGAAGAAACAUCUCGCUGUCUGUUGAAGUCGAUGAAGACGAGACAGUAGAGGAUUUUGGAGCUUCAGCCAUGAAGUGCAAGCACAGUGUCUAAACACUUUUUGAGCCUGAUUAUAAUAUUAUAUUGAGAAAAUUUAAUUCCAAUCCAGUAAUAUACUAUAUAAGAUGUGAAUGCGUUCAAGUAAAGGAUUUAUUAAUUAA
Long non-coding RNA from Nilaparvata lugens (brown planthopper), 941 nucleotides. RefSeq lists it as uncharacterized. NCBI's taxonomy places the organism in Eukaryota, Metazoa, Arthropoda, Insecta, Hemiptera, Delphacidae. The record is from RefSeq and is a predicted model, not a curated record. The transcript is spliced from 4 exons.